AACGAACGCUGGCGGCAGGCCUAACACAUGCAAGUCGAACGCGAACGGUCCUUCGGGACUUAUUAGAGUGGCGGACGGGUGAGUAACUCGUGGGAAUAUGCCUUUCGGUACGGAACAACGCCUGGAAACGGGUGCUAAUACCGUAUACGCCCCCUGGGGGAAAGAUUUAUCGCCGAAAGAUUAGCCCGCGCUGGAUUAGCUAGAUGGUGAGGUAAUGGCUCACCAUGGCGACGAUCCAUAGCUGGUUUGAGAGGAUGAUCAGCCACACUGGGACUGAGACACGGCCCAG
This 289-nucleotide ribosomal RNA is filed under the name uncultured bacterium. Its description in RNAcentral is "partial 16S ribosomal RNA". It matches the Rfam family "Bacterial small subunit ribosomal RNA", at positions 29 to 334 of the family's 1533-position model. The record is from RNAcentral.